UUCGGACUGUAGGCUGCAACUCGCCUACACGAAGUUGGAAUUGCUAGUAAUCGUGGAUCAGCAUGCCACGGUGAAUACGUUCCCGGGUCUUGUACACACCGCCCGUCACACCAUGGGAGCUGGUAACACCCGAAGUCAGUAGUCUAACCGCAAGGAGGACGCUGCCGAAGGUGGGAUUAGCGACUGGGGUGAAGUCGUAACAAGGUACC
Molecule: ribosomal RNA, 209 nt
Filed under: uncultured bacterium
Lineage: Bacteria
Description: partial 16S ribosomal RNA
Rfam family: Bacterial small subunit ribosomal RNA
Source: RNAcentral